Molecule: ribosomal RNA, 252 nt
Filed under: uncultured Mesobacillus sp.
Lineage: Bacteria; Bacillati; Bacillota; Bacilli; Caryophanales; Bacillaceae
Description: partial 16S ribosomal RNA
Rfam family: Bacterial small subunit ribosomal RNA
Source: RNAcentral
UAGGGAAUCUUCCGCAAUGGACGAAAGUCUGACGGAGCAACGCCGCGUGAGCGAUGAAGGCCUUCGGGUCGUAAAGCUCUGUUGUCAGGGAAGAACAAGUAUCGGAGUAACUGCCGGUACCUUGACGGUACCUGACCAGAAAGCCACGGCUAACUACGUGCCAGCAGCCGCGGUAAUACGUAGGUGGCAAGCGUUGUCCGGAAUUAUUGGGCGUAAAGCGCGCGCAGGCGGUUCCUUAAGUCUGAUGUGAAA